GUGUGUGUGUGUGUGUGUGUGUGUGUGUGUGUGUGUGUGUGUGUGUGUGUGUGUGCGCGCGUGCGUAUCGAACACGGAAAAACAUGGCGGACUGGCAAGAACUAGUAUGGCAGAGGUUCGUAAAUACAGACAUUUGUAUGAUUCAGCUCUCAAAGAUCGUCGUGAUCAACAUGUUGUUAAUAAUUCUUGGAGAGAAGAAGCUCGCACUGUCGGAAAAGACGAGGAUGCUGUUCAAAAAUGCUGGAAAAACAUGAGGGACCGAUAUGUGAAGGCAAGGAAGGAGAACAAAGGGAAAAGCAGUGAUCCUGGUGGAAACAAGAACACUCCACCAAUUCUAAAAGAGCUGAGUUGACUCUCAACUUUCAUUAAACAUAGAGCAACAGAGAUCAACGUGACAUCAGCUGUGGUAAGUAAAGUUAUUUUUCUGUGAAGGUUAAAUAAAUGUAUUUGAUCACAGGAUUCAUAGAAAGACUUUGUAUUUAUUUUUCUUUUAAUGUUGAAUAACAGCUUCAAUAAAAUAAGUAUAUGUUAUUUUUAUUGUAUUUAUUUUGAAGGUUGAGGAUGAUUCACAAUCAGAGGCAGAUCUCCUCCAGUCUGCUUCCCCACCCUCUCCUGUCCCAACGCUGCCACCUUCAUCCAGUUCAUCUGAAUUCAGCACAAAAUGCCCCUGCACCCUCCAAGACACGUUUUCCUACAGUUCUCCAAUGGAAAAGGUCUGCUCCUCUCCAGGAUCCAGUGGUGGUUUAACCAGUGUCUCAGAGAGUCCAGGCCCAGCACCAAAGAGGAGGAAGAAGAUGGAUGAUGUUUUGCUCAAAAGGCUUGACAGGGUUGACCAUGACAAAGGUGUCCAUAAUGACACAAAAGACAUCAGAUUUGGAUAUGUUGUUGCUGACUUACUAGGAAAAAUAUCAUCUGAAAAGAAAAUGUCAGUCCAGUUCAAAAUCUUCCAGCUGCUGUAUGAAGCUAUAAAGUAAAAAAACUCAACAGUAGAUUUUUUUAUGGUUUAUUUUUUAUUUUUUUCAUGUGAAUUAACUCAGACUGAGUUACAUGUCAUUUAUGUUUACAAGAACCCAACCUUGAACACAAUAACAAUGGUGUGAUUUCAUGCAUUGAGUUGAGCUCUAUUCCUUGUUGCCCAGAGAACUGAAUUAACUGACUGCAGAACUGAAAGAUGCCCUUUCAUCUGCAGACACACGAUUCAGACCAGACCAGAGGCUUAAUUCAGUGUACCUCUCCUUACCACGCUUUCCUGCCAAGGUACAAGUCUUUGCGGUAACAGGAAGAAUGACUUAAAGUCAUUUCUGGCUGGAAUUGCAGCCCGAGUUGCUCAUGCCUUGCAUAGCUGUCCAGCAUCCAACAGGUUGCUGUCACCGGCAACUACUCUUCUCUAUUCCCCAUACACGACAUCACCUGCAGAUGUGAAAGAGUCAGAGAACCUGGGUGGGAUGUAGUGGGUGACUGGGGUGUUGGCAGCAUCAGUGCUGCUCAGGUAAUUGUGUAAAGCCACACAGGCCUUCACAACUUUAACAGUUUUGUCAGGGUGGAAGUCGAUUGGUCUUCUCAGGAUCCGCCAUCGGGCUGCCAGAAUGCCAAAGCUGUUCUCUAUCACCCUCCUGGCACUUGAGUGGCGGUAGUUGUAAAUCCACUGUGUGUCAUCAAGGUUUGUUCCUGCAAAUUAAGUUGAGAUUAGGUUAUAUAAUAAUCCCAAUUUAUAAAAUCGUCAUCAUAACACAUCUUAAUAAUAACAUACCUGGAAAAGGCCGCAUCAGGUUUUGGUGGGGAGGGAAGGCCGCAUCAUCUAGGAACACGUGUGGAACAGUAGUUGUGGAACCAGGCAGGUUGGCCGGGAGUGGUAGGUCCAGGGUUCCAUGGAGCAGGCUGCUCCCGAACAUGCACUCCUGAAAAACUCCACCAUCACUCUCUCGCCCAUAUGCCCCUAUGUCCACCCUGCUAAAUCUAUAGUUAGCAUCACACACAGCCAUGAGCACGAGGGAAUGAGUUCCUUUGUAGUUGAAAAAAAUCAUUUCCUGCAUUUGGUAGUGCUUUUAUGAUGUUUUCCAUCCACACAACCCAAACAAUUUGGGAAAUUCCACACACACCAGAAUUCCUGGGAGAUGUCUGCCCACUUGUUUUUGUCAGGUAAUAAAACAAAAUCACUGCACAACGCCGACCAAAGUGCCUCACAGACUUCAGUGACAAUGGGGGAGACUGUUGUGGAUCCUAGCCUGUAGCUUGUGCCACGCUUUGCUGACUGUUUCCUGAUACAAGCACACGAAGCGUGACAGCAAGUCUUUCUUCCAGUUUCACAGGGCUACUGUGGGUCGCUGCGUGGUUAAUAUAUGGUUGAAUACGAUGCAACAAGUCGUCAAAUAUAUUGGCAGACAUGCGGAAGUACUUGAAAUGUGAAAGUUCAUCGAUUCCACGCAUGGGUCUCACAAGGGAACUAUAUUCACCUUUGUCGCGUCUACUUUGGUUUAAUGGACGAGUGGACCAUCUCCUUUGUCGUCUGCUGUGUAGCAAUAGUAAAUAACAUACAAUUUCUUCCUCUUCAAGUAACCUCGCAUGCCUCACCCGUGGUGUAGCCAUGUUGUAAACAACAGUUAUUUCUACUUCUACUAUGGUGUAGUGUUGGAUGCAUGCUGUAGAGCUCCAUGCUGCCCCCUACAGUUUAGGAGAAUAUUGGCUCACCGCUGAGACAAGCCGCAUGAACCAUAAACGCUGCAAUUUGUGAAGCGCGUUCCAUUUGCUAGCCGCAUCACCAAGCGGAAAGUAAAUGCGUCAAGCAUAAACCGAGCUUAAGCUACAGCUGCUACACUCCUGCU
Nothobranchius furzeri (turquoise killifish) is the source of this 2822-nucleotide long non-coding RNA. The record is from Ensembl. Lineage: Eukaryota; Metazoa; Chordata; Actinopteri; Cyprinodontiformes; Nothobranchiidae.